GACGAACGCUGGCGGUGUGCUUCACACAUGCAAGUCGAACGAGGUAGCAAUACCUAGUGGCGGACGGGUGAGUAACGCGUGGGAAUCUGCCUUUAGAUGGGGGAUAACGGGUCGAAAGACUCGCUAAUACCGCAUAUGACGAAAGUUGAAAGGAGUAAUCCGUCUAAAGAUGAGCCCGCGUCCGAUUAGCUAGUUGGUAGAGUAAAAGCCUACCAAGGCGACGAUCGGUAGCUGGUCUGAGAGGAUGAUCAGCCACAAUGGGACUAGAGACACGGCCCAUACU
This 283-nucleotide ribosomal RNA is filed under the name uncultured bacterium. Its description in RNAcentral is "partial 16S ribosomal RNA". It matches the Rfam family "Bacterial small subunit ribosomal RNA", at positions 28 to 337 of the family's 1533-position model. The record is from RNAcentral.